RNAcentral lists this long non-coding RNA (212 nucleotides) under Hordeum vulgare. RNAcentral's name for it is "long non-coding RNA (HVUL_LNC011502)". The record is from RNAcentral. Lineage: Eukaryota; Viridiplantae; Streptophyta; Magnoliopsida; Poales; Poaceae.
UCCCUCUACAAGUUAUGACAAAUAAACUAGAAUAUUUUAGCUAAGGAAAUAUCUCUUUGUAUUAUGAACUAAAGAUCGCCAGUCUUUGGUUUCAGAUCGACAAGAUGUUGAUCCAAUCCUUGGAAUGAGUCAGACACACCUCACUAGGAACAAUAACUUAGGCACUAUGACUCGGUCCAGCCAUCAGUGAAGAGAUUGUGCAAAUGAUCUAC